RNAcentral lists this small RNA (164 nucleotides) under uncultured Acetatifactor sp. RNAcentral describes it as "Clostridiales-1 RNA". It matches the Rfam family "Clostridiales-1 RNA". Lineage: Bacteria; Bacillati; Bacillota; Clostridia; Lachnospirales; Lachnospiraceae. The record is from RNAcentral.
GAUACCAGGGUUCCAAGGUCUUUACACACACGAGCUUGCUCGUAUGUGUGUAAAAGAAUUUGGAACCCGCCAAAAUAUGAGCAUAAAAGCGGGACGCAGUCCCGCGAUAUGCGAAUAUUUUGUAGGAUUGCGAGAGUACGAAGUACGAGCAAUCCGUAGGUAUC